ACGGAGGGUGCGAGCGUUGUCCGGAAUCAUUGGGCGUAAAGGGCGCGUAGGUGGCGGCUUAAGCGUGCGGUGAAAGCUCGGGGCUCAACCCCGAGUCGGCCGUGCGAGCUGAGUCGCUUGAGCACUGUAGAGGCAGGCGGAAUUCCGGGUGUAGCGGUGGAAUGCGUAGAGAUCCGGAAGAACACCGGUGGCGAAGGCGGCCUGCUGGGCAGUGGCUGACACUGAGGCGCGACAGCGUGGGGAGCAAACAGGA
This 253-nucleotide ribosomal RNA is filed under the name uncultured prokaryote. RNAcentral describes it as "partial 16S ribosomal RNA". It matches the Rfam family "Bacterial small subunit ribosomal RNA", at positions 525 to 777 of the family's 1533-position model. The record is from RNAcentral.